Molecule: ribosomal RNA, 441 nt
Filed under: uncultured bacterium
Lineage: Bacteria
Description: partial 16S ribosomal RNA
Rfam family: Bacterial small subunit ribosomal RNA
Source: RNAcentral
CCUACGGGAGGCAGCAGUAGGGAAUAUUGCUCAAUGGGGGAAACUCUGAAGCAGCAACGCCGCGUGGAGGAUGAAGGUUUUAUGAUUGUAAACUCCUUUUGUGAGAGAAGAUAAUGACGGUAUCCCACGAAUACUCAACGGCUCACCCCGUGCCAGCAGCCGCGGUAACACGGAGGGUGCAAGCGUUACUCGGAAUCACUGGGCGUAAAGGGUGCGCAGGCGGGCUUGUAAGUCAGAUGUGAAAUCCUGUAGCUUAACUACAGAACUGCAUUUGAAACUUUGAGUCUAGAGUGUGGGAGAGGUAGGUGGAAUUCUUUGUGUAGGGGUAAAAUCCGUAGAUAUCAAGAGGAAUACUCAUUGCGAAGGCGACCUACUGGAACAUUACUGACGCUCAUGCACGAAAGCGUGGGGAGCAAACAGGAUUAGAUACCCCUGGUAGUC